GUCUACCAUGGGCAAAGAUCUGUGUUAGACAUGAGGGACAUCAAGACAAAAAGGGUGGUUCAGACUAUCAUGCUAGUCACAAACAUAACAAAGAUAUAAUUCUGAAACAAAAGAUGAAGGUGGAGGGUGAUCUUCCACAGACCUCUACCUUAGGAAUAUGGGAACGGGGUUAUUCCUUGCCUUUGCAAGGUCAAAAAGAAUCACAGAAUUGAGAAAAUCGGGGAAAUUUAGAUUCAGAGAAGUUUUGCUGAUUUAUGGAAAAGGCAGCCCCUGAAGUGAUCCUAAUUAUGAACAGGUUGGAAAUUAGAAGUUAAACAGGAGUUAAACAAAUUUUUCAGUCCUAAAUUGUUUAGAGGCUCUGGUCGAGGACAUGCACCCACCCUCCCAACAAUAAAAAAAAUCAGAUUAAAAUACACAUUUAGUCUGGCUGAUUGUUCUGUGUUGCAAAAGAAGUUGGCACUUGGAGGUAAAGUUGGAACUUUUCUGUGUAAAGAAGUAGCUGUACCACCAGCACGGCUCUGAGGACUAACAUAUUUUCCUCUGCUCUUAGGAAGAAAUCAACCAAGUUCCAAGCAUUUCUUUGCAAGUUUCCAAGGUCUUUCGGUGCUACAAUCCAACAACCAAUAUCCUUUCCUUAAGGUCUGGAGAAGCUUCUGAAGCCUCAUUUCUUAUUGACAAAUUUGGAAAAUCUGGCUUUCUGACAACCCAAGGGUGAUAAAGCCAGCUGUCCAAAGCUUCUCUCAACAUAAGUCUGCAGUGCUUCAGAGGAGAAAGUAAAUAAGAUCUGAAGGGGAUCAGAACAUUUUAUAAUGAAGAUGAAGCAUCUAAAUGGAAAGCAGGAAGCAAAAACAAAGAAAACAAUUAAGAAAACUUCCCCAAAACCAGGAUUCCCAAAUUCUAAGCAGAGCUAUCCAAUCAUAUAUAUGAAUUUACGUUCAAGAUGCAUUGGAAAAGCAAAUAUCAGUCGUAAUGUGAGAAGCUACCAACUGAAAAGGACACUGUAUACGAAUAAUCUGAACAUAUCUAGCAUUGAAUGUUCAGUGGAAUUUUGGCAGGAAAAGUGCUACACUGGCUUGAAUACAUUCAAAAAUAAGGCUGUCACCUUUUUUUUUGAAAAUGGAAACUAUGAGAUCUUUGUUGAAGAUUUACCUGAAAAUGAAGAGCGAGGUUUGCUGUACUUGGAAUACUUCACCACUAAAAAUUCAUACAGAGGAGAUGCUUUGGUGGUCCUGGCUCCUCAGCCCUCUGACAUUCGUCUUCAGCUGCAUGCCAAUGAUCAGAAUGAUCUUGAGCUUCACAAGCAUGAACACCACCACCAAGCUCAGAGAAAGAAAUUAUUCUUUAUGCAUUCAGAAGGGUCUGGGUUUGUUUCAUUUGAGUCUUUCUAUGCUCGAGGAUUCUAUAUUGGUGUAAAGGAAAAUCGCCUGGAACUUAUGAAGAAAAAAGAAGAUAUAAUCCUGACUCUGUAG
RNAcentral lists this long non-coding RNA (1469 nucleotides) under Monodelphis domestica (gray short-tailed opossum). RNAcentral's name for it is "lncRNA (ENSMODG00000050084.1)". Lineage: Eukaryota; Metazoa; Chordata; Mammalia; Didelphimorphia; Didelphidae. The record is from RNAcentral.